Molecule: ribosomal RNA, 159 nt
Filed under: uncultured bacterium
Lineage: Bacteria
Description: partial 16S ribosomal RNA
Rfam family: Bacterial small subunit ribosomal RNA
Source: RNAcentral
UGAGGAAUAUUGGUCAAUGGGGCUUACGCCUGAACCAGCCAAGUCGCGUGAGGGAAGACUGCCCUAUGGGUUGUAAACCUCUUUUGUCAGGGAGCAAUUGGCGCUACGUGUAGCGUUAUCGAGAGUACCUGAAGAAAAAGCAUCGGCUAACUCCGUGCC